AGACACGGUCCAUACUCCUACGGGAGGCAGCAGUAGGGAAUCUUCCACAAUGGGCGCAAGCCUGAUGGAGCAACACCGCGUGAGUGAAGAAGGGUUUCGGCUCGUAAAGCUCUGUUGUUGGAGAAGAACGUGCGUGAGAGUAACUGUUCACGCAGUGACGGUAUCCAACCAGAAAGUCACGGCUAACUACGUGCCAGCAGCCGCGGUAAUACGUAGGUGGCAAGCGUUAUCCGGAUUUAUUGGGCGUAAAGCGAGCGCAGGCGGUUGCUUAGGUCUGAUGUGAAAGCCUUCGGCUUAACCGAAGAAGUGCAUCGGAAACCGGGCGACUUGAGUGCAGAAGAGGACAGUGGAACUCCAUGUGUAGCGGUGGAAUGCGUAGAUAUAUGGAAGAACACCAGUGGCGAAGGCGGCUGUCUGGUCUGCAACUGACGCUGAGGCUCGAAAGCAUGGGUAGCGAACAGGAUUAGAUACCCUGGUAGUCCAUGCCGUAAACGAU
This 496-nucleotide ribosomal RNA is filed under the name uncultured bacterium. RNAcentral's name for it is "bacterial SSU rRNA". It matches the Rfam family "Bacterial small subunit ribosomal RNA", at positions 322 to 810 of the family's 1533-position model. The record is from RNAcentral.